UUCCUAGGUGACAACAAUGCCGAGUAAACAAUUGACGUUUCCUAGGUAACCAGGUUACACUUUUUCGUUUCCCUUUUUUGCCGAAUGACCCUUCAAUGUAGACGUAUUUACGUCCAAAAAGUCGUUUCUAAUACCAAGAAAAGUCAUAAAGAUCCCGUAACAGACUGUGUUUUGCUUUGGCAGGAGGAACCAGACAUAGACACAUUUUGCGUUGUUAAGUUGGCAUUACGAAACAGCCCCGCCAAACAGGUCUCCCCACGUUUCGUGCUGGAGACGAGGAAGGAAUACAAGGCUAUAUUAAUGGCGACCACCGCAGGAUAUGUAGAGGGGGGUAUCUCCCCCCUCAUCCUUUCAACCGUCAACGGCAAACUGUCUCUUCUGAUACGAACCACGUUCCACUGUAGGAAGUUGCUCAUCACACGAACAAGAUCACAAAGAAGCCAUGAAACUAUUCUGAGAUAUUUAUUUACUUUGUCAGGUCGUUAAAUUAUCAAAGCAAACCGUUUCUCCUUUUGAAGCGGGCGAUCUAAGUAGUUCCAUUUUUACCGCUCAUGUAUCCAUGGAUGGAAAACGCAAAGAAAAUAAAGAAUGCGGGAGAAACCAGAGAUGAAACUUAUUUUAUCAGAAAUAUAAGUUCUACAUACAAAGAGCACAGACUGUACCUAAGCCUUGCCC
Molecule: non-coding RNA, 675 nt
Organism: Zootermopsis nevadensis
Lineage: Eukaryota; Metazoa; Arthropoda; Insecta; Blattodea; Termopsidae
Source: RefSeq, a predicted model, not a curated record